AUCCAGCUGACGAGUCCCAAAUAGGACAAAGAAACGCACGUCCUGGAU
Schistosoma rodhaini is the source of this 48-nucleotide non-coding RNA. NCBI's taxonomy places the organism in Eukaryota, Metazoa, Platyhelminthes, Trematoda, Strigeidida, Schistosomatidae. The record is from Rfam.